RNAcentral lists this ribosomal RNA (411 nucleotides) under uncultured Fusobacterium sp. Its description in RNAcentral is "bacterial SSU rRNA". It matches the Rfam family "Bacterial small subunit ribosomal RNA", at positions 338 to 757 of the family's 1533-position model. The record is from RNAcentral. Lineage: Bacteria; Fusobacteriati; Fusobacteriota; Fusobacteriia; Fusobacteriales; Fusobacteriaceae.
CCUACGGGAGGCAGCAGUGGGGAAUAUUGCACAAUGGGCGCAAGCCUGAUGCAGCGACGCCGCGUGGGGGAUGACGGCCUUCGGGUUGUAAACUCCUUUCAGCCAUGACGAAGCCUUUGUGGUGACGGUAGUGGUAGAAGAAGCACCGGCUAACUACGUGCCAGCAGCCGCGGUAAUACGUAGGGUGCGAGCGUUGUCCGGAAUUACUGGGCGUAAAGAGCUCGUAGGUGGUCUGUCGCGUCAUUUGUGAAAGCCCGGGGCUUAACUCCGGGUUGGCAGGUGAUACGGGCAUGACUGGAGUACUGUAGGGGAGACUGGAAUUCCUGGUGUAGCGGUGAAAUGCGCAGAUAUCAGGAGGAACACCGGUGGCGAAGGCGGGUCUCUGGGCAGUAACUGACGCUGAGGAGCGAA